Molecule: ribosomal RNA, 436 nt
Filed under: uncultured prokaryote
Description: partial 16S ribosomal RNA
Source: RNAcentral
CCCUAUGGGGCGUGGCCAGCGUCGGCGUUCUUCCGGUAGCAUUUGGCCACGUAGAACAGGCCCGUCUCCCUGUGCUUUACCAGGAGGGUCUCGCAGCCCUCGCUGUGGGCAAAGCACUCGAAGGGCUCAUACUCCGUCAGGAAUUCUCCCGGAUACCGCUGAGCGUCGCACGACGCCCGGAGGCUCUCCGCGAGGGCGUCGUUCGCGGCUUCAUUCAUGGGAUUCUCCUUCGCCGAGCAGCGUAAGUCCCAGCCUCAUCAACAGUUCCUGGAUUUGCGGCACGGUUUUCCCGUCGUGCAGGCAGCGCAUGAUGGCCGCGUCCCGCAGCAGCUUGGGAUAGAGGAGGCUUUUCUCCGCCGUUUUCAUGAGCGCCUGGGCCUCCUCCACGUCCAGCCCCAGCCCGAAACAGAUUUGGAUCAGCUUGGCCCGGGAGAGC